RNAcentral lists this ribosomal RNA (497 nucleotides) under uncultured bacterium. RNAcentral's name for it is "bacterial SSU rRNA". It matches the Rfam family "Bacterial small subunit ribosomal RNA", at positions 29 to 507 of the family's 1533-position model. The record is from RNAcentral.
AACAAACGCUGGCGGCGUGCCUAACACAUGCAAGUCGUACGAGAAAGUCGGCUUCGGCCGAUGAGUACAGUGGCGCACGGGUGAGUAGCGCGUGGGUAAUCUGCCCCCCGGUCAGGAAUAACCCGCCGAAAGGCGGGCUAAUACCCGAUAACACUGACGCUCCGCGGAGCGUCUUUCAAAGAAGGCCUCUGUUUACAAGCUUUCGCCGGAGGAUGAGCCCGCGUACCAUUAGCUAGUUGGCAGGGUAAUGGCCUACCAAGGCUACGAUGGUUAGCUGGUCUGAGAGGAUGGCCAGCCACACUGGAACUGAGACACGGUCCAGACUCCUACGGGAGGCAGCAGUGAGGAAUAUUGGUCAAUGGACGCAAGUCUGAACCAGCCAUGCCGCGUGCAGGAAGAAGCAUCUAUGGUGUGUAAACUGCUUUUAUACAGGAAGAAACAUCCCGACGUGUCGGGACUUGACGGUACUGUAAGAAUAAGGACCGGCUAACUCCGUG